This 1365-nucleotide long non-coding RNA is filed under the name Scleropages formosus (Asian bonytongue). RNAcentral's name for it is "lncRNA (ENSSFOG00015032806.1)". Lineage: Eukaryota; Metazoa; Chordata; Actinopteri; Osteoglossiformes; Osteoglossidae. The record is from RNAcentral.
GGGAAAUCCUCUGCGUUUUAGUGACGUAUUUUGUAAAACACACAGUACAGAACAACAUUUUCCCCACCGUAUUGCUAUGGACAUGUGUUACUUGUCUUUGUAUCUUAUCCUUUUUUUGGUUCACGGUGUUAAGGUUAUUAUAGGUUUUUUAUUUUUUCUUUAUUUUUUUGUAUCUUUUUCUAGUUUUACGAGCGAGGGCCCUGCAAUUUCGACAACCUCGAAAGGACUGCAGGGACUUAAAGCCAUGACCUUUGCAAAGAGGCCUGCGAGAGGAGCCCGUGCCCGUGCGCACUGGGGACGAGACACGCGGAGCCUUUGCUGAUCUGUACGGUCGACCCCUUGGCUGCUGCAGCUUCCUGUCCUGGCAGAGCGAGAGAGGCAGAAAGACAAAGUAAGGGCAAAAGAAAGUGCAGCGGCUACAAGCUCGAAGGUGGAAACAUCCGACUUAUAAAGGCCACCAUAUCUGUUCCGCCGUCGCUCUGCUGAGAAGUCCAGUUCCGACCCGAUUUGGAUGCAGGACGGCAGUAUUUUGGGUUGUGAAGAGCGAAAAUCAACGCACAAGUGAACAAAUGAGGAGAGCGCUGUUCUUCUUCUCCAUCAGCCUGACAGUCAUGGCAUGCAAAGGUGUUCAACUGACAUGUCCAGGACAUUCCCCGGUGUCAUGGGAUGGAAAAUAUAUACCGGAAGAAGUAAAAAGUGAAUCAAUCAUAUUAGAGGAUUUUGAAGGACUGGUUCGCUGUAGUUAUGACAAAAACCAAACAUAUUAUUUUUAUAUUAAUGACAAAGCCUGGGCAGCGUGUAAGAACUGCGUCAAGCUCGACGGGGCUUCGGUGGUUAUCGUUAUAGCGGGGGACCUGCUGCUGACUGCCGGAGUUAUGCUCGUCGCCUGCAUCUGUGGCCGGAGAAAGCUGAGAGUUCCCGCUGUACCCCCCGCCCAGCCAAGACCCCAGGGACCCACAACCUCCAGCUGUGAAUAUGAGGCUUUAAGCCCUACAACCAGAGACAAUGCCCUCUACAGUGUUUCCGGGCUGCACAGAACUGGCUGAUCCGUUGGAUUCCUUUGCUUCCCGUAGAAACAUCCCGUGGAAAGGCUUUGCGUGUCAGUUUUAUUCCAGCAGCAGCGCCAGUCCGACCAGUAUCUCUGGAACAAUUCUAGCACUUGUGUGUCUUUUUUUUUAAAUAAUGCUGGCUAGGUUUUACUGAGUUUUACGUUUUGCUGUUCAAAGUAGAAAUACAAGCUUUGGGUUUAUUUUAGGAUUUAUUUUUUUACUCAGCAAUUUGCUUCAAUGCCUUACUUUGUACAAAUAUUGUUAAUGUCUUAAAAGAUCUUUUCAUAGGCAAAUAAAGACAGUUAAUUAAAUGACA